ACGGGAGGCAGCAGUGAGGAAUAUUGGUCAAUGGACGGAAGUCUGAACCAGCCAUGCCGCGUGAAGGAAGGCGGCCCUAUGGGUUGUAAACUUCUUUUGCCGCAGAGUAAUAAGCGGGAUGCGUCCCGUGAUGAGAGUAUGCGGCGAAUAAGCAUCGGCUAACUCCGUGCCAGCAGCCGCGGUAAUACGGAGGAUGCAAGCGUUAUCCGGAUUUAUUGGGUUUAAAGGGUGCGUAGGCGGAGCAUUAAGUCAGCGGUGAAAUAUCCCGGCUCAACCGGGAGGCUGCCGUUGAUACUGAUGGUCUCGAGUCCGAACGGCGCCGGCGGAAUAUGUAAUGUAGCGGUGAAAUGCAUAGAUAUUACAUAGAACACCGAUCGCGAAGGCAGCUGGCGAGGACGGCACUGACGCUGAGGCACGAAGGUGCGGGGAUCAAACAGGAUUAGAUACCCUGGUA
RNAcentral lists this ribosomal RNA (454 nucleotides) under uncultured Rikenellaceae bacterium. Its description in RNAcentral is "partial 16S ribosomal RNA". It matches the Rfam family "Bacterial small subunit ribosomal RNA", at positions 341 to 792 of the family's 1533-position model. The record is from RNAcentral. Lineage: Bacteria; Pseudomonadati; Bacteroidota; Bacteroidia; Bacteroidales; Rikenellaceae.